GACGAACGCUGGCGGCGUGCCUAAUACAUGCAAGUUGAGCGAUGAAGAUUGGUGCUUGCACCAAUUUGAAGAGCAGCGAACGGGUGAGUAACGCGUGGGGAAUCUGCCUUUGAGCGGGGGACAACAUUUGGAAACGAAUGCUAAUACCGCAUAACAACUUUAAACAUAAGUUUUAAGUUUGAAAGAUGCAAUUGCAUCACUCAAAGAUGAUCCCGCGUUGUAUUAGCUAGUUGGUGAGGUAAAGGCUCACCAAGGCGAUGAUACAUAGCCGACCUGAGAGGGUGAACGGCCACAUUGGGACUGAGACACGGCCCAAACUCCUACGGGAGGCAGCAGGAGGGAAUCUUCGGCAAUGGACGAAAGUCUGACCGAGCAACGCCGCGUGAGUGAAGAAGGUUUUCGGAUCGUAAAACUCUGUUGGUAGAGAAGAACGUUGGUGAGAGUGGAAAGCUCAUCAAGUGACGGUAACUACCCAGAAAGGGACGGCUAACUACGUG
RNAcentral lists this ribosomal RNA (497 nucleotides) under uncultured bacterium. Its description in RNAcentral is "partial 16S ribosomal RNA". It matches the Rfam family "Bacterial small subunit ribosomal RNA", at positions 28 to 507 of the family's 1533-position model. The record is from RNAcentral.